AGUGAACGCUGGCGGUAUGCCUAACACAUGCAAGUCGAACGGCAGCACAGUAAGAUCUUGCUCUUACGGGUGGCGAGUGGCGGACGGGUCAGGAAUACAUCGUAAUCUACUCUUUCGUGGGGGUUCACGUAGCGAAACUUACGCUAAUACCGCAUACGAUCUAUGGUUGAAAGCAGGGGAUCUUUUGACCUUUCGCGAUUGAAUUAGCCGCUUUUGGGUUUGCUGGUUGGCGGGGUAAUGGCCCACCAAGGCGACGGUCCGUUGCUGGUCUGAGAGGAUGAUGAGCCACACUGGAACUGAGACGCGGUCAAGACUCCUACGGGAGGCAGCAGUGGCGGAUAUUGGACAGUGGGCGGAAGCAUGGAACAGCCAGACAGCGUGGGAGGAGAAAGCGUUCGGGGUGGAAAGACGUUUUGUGGGGAAAGAAAAGCAGCAGGUUAAUACCCCGCUGUACUGACGGUACCCAAAGAAUAAGCACCGGCUAACUUCGUG
RNAcentral lists this ribosomal RNA (492 nucleotides) under uncultured bacterium. RNAcentral's name for it is "partial 16S ribosomal RNA". It matches the Rfam family "Bacterial small subunit ribosomal RNA", at positions 29 to 507 of the family's 1533-position model. The record is from RNAcentral.